Molecule: ribosomal RNA, 505 nt
Filed under: uncultured bacterium
Lineage: Bacteria
Description: partial 16S ribosomal RNA
Rfam family: Bacterial small subunit ribosomal RNA
Source: RNAcentral
GACGAACGCUGGCGGCGUGCCUAAUACAUGCAAGUAGAACGCACAGUUUAUACCGUAGCUUGCUACACCAUAGACUGUGAGUUGCGAACGGGUGAGUAACGCGUAGGUAACCUGCCUGGUAGCGGGGGAUAACUAUUGGAAACGAUAGCUAAUACCGCAUAAUAUUAAUUAUUGCAUGAUAAUUAAUUGAAAGGUGCAAUUGCACCACUACCAGAUGGAUCUGCGUUGUAUUAGCUAGUAGGUGAGGUAACGGCUCACCUAGGCGACGAUACAUAGCCGACCUGAGAGGGUGAUCGGCCACACUGGGACUGAGACACGGCCCAGACUCCUACGGGAGGCAGCAGUAGGGAAUCUUCGGCAAUGGACGAAAGUCUGACCGAGCAACGCCGCGUGAGUGAAGAAGGUUUUCGGAUCGUAAAGCUCUGUUGUAAGAGAAGAACGGGUGUGAGAGUGGAAAGUUCACACUGUGACGGUAUCUUACCAGAAAGGGACGGCUAACUACGUG